AACGGGUGGUAAUGCCGGAUGCUCCGACAUGCUGCAUGGCGUGUUGGGAAAGAUUUAUCGGUAUGGGAUGGGGUCGCGUCCUAUCAGGUAGUCGGCGGGGUAACGGCCCACCGAGCCUAUGACGGGUAGCCGGCCUGAGAGGGCGACCGGCCACAUUGGGACUGAGAUACGGCCCAGACUCCUACGGGAGGCAGCAGUGGGGAAUAUUGCACAAUGGGCGCAAGCCUGAUGCAGCGACGCCGCGUGCGGGAUGACGGCCUUCGGGUUGUAAACCGCUUUUGAUUGGGAGCAAGCGAGAGUGAGUGUACCUUUCGAAUAAGCACCGGCUAACUACGUGCCAGCAGCCGCGGUAAUACGUAGGGUGCAAGCGUUAUCCGGAAUUAUUGGGCGUAAAGAGCUCGUAGGCGGUUCGUCGCGUCUGGUGUGAAAGUCCAUCGCUUAACGGUGGAUCUGCGCCGGGUACGGGCGGGCUGGAGUGCGGUAGGGGAGACUGGAAUUCCCGGUGUAACGGUGGAAUGUGUAGAUAUCGGGAAGAACACCAAUGGCGAAGGCAGGUCUCUGGGCCGUUACUGACGCUGAGGAGCGAAAGCGUGGGGAGCGAACAGGAUUAGAUACCCUGGUAGUCCACGCCGUAAACGGUGGAUGCUGGAUGUGGGGCCCUUUCCACGGGUCCCGUGUCGGAGCUAACGCGUUAAGCAUCCCGCCUGGGGAGUACGGCCGCAAGGCUAAAACUCAAAGAAAUUGACGGGGGCCCGCACAAGCGGCGGAGCAUGCGGAUUAAUUCGAUGCAACGCGAAGAACCUUACCUGGGCUUGACAUGUUCCCGGCGACGGCAGAGAUGUCGUUUCCCUUCGGGGCGGGUUCACAGGUGGUGCAUGGUCGUCGUCAGCUCGUGUCGUGAGAUGUUGGGUUAAGUCCCGCAACGAGCGCAACCCUCGCCCCGUGUUGCCAGCAUGCAGUGAUGGGAACUCACGGGGGACCGCCGGGGUUAACUCGGAGGAAGGUGGGGAUGACGUCAGAUCAUCAUGCCCCUUACGUCCAGGGCUUCACGCAUGCUACAAUGGCCGG
This 1068-nucleotide ribosomal RNA is filed under the name Bifidobacterium callitrichos DSM 23973. RNAcentral describes it as "bacterial SSU rRNA". It matches the Rfam family "Bacterial small subunit ribosomal RNA", at positions 155 to 1237 of the family's 1533-position model. Lineage: Bacteria; Bacillati; Actinomycetota; Actinomycetes; Bifidobacteriales; Bifidobacteriaceae. The record is from RNAcentral.